AAUGAACGUUGGCGGCGUGGAUUAGGCAUGCAAGUCGAGCGAGUCUACUUAUAGCAAUAUGAGUAAGUCGAGCGGCGUAAGGGGCAGUAAUACCUGGGAACGUACCCUGAGGUCGGGGAUAGCUGCUGGAAACGGCGAGCAAUACCCGAUGAUCUUGGAAAAGCAAAGGCUUGCCGCCUUAGGAGCGGCCCAGGCGAUAUUAGCUAGUUGGUGGGGUAAUGGCCUACCAAGGCAUAGAUGUCUAGCGGGUGUGAGAGCAUGGCCCCCACCACUGGGACUGAGAUACUGCCCAGACACCUACGGGUGGCUGCAGUCGAGGAUCUUCGUCAAUGGGCGAAAGCCUGAACGAGCGACGCCGCGUGCGGGAUGAAGGCCCUUGGGUUGUAAACCGCUGUCAGGGGGGAUGAAACCGUAAGGUUGACAGAGCCCCAGAGGAAGCACGGGCUAAGUUCGUGCCAGCAGCCGCGGUAAU
RNAcentral lists this ribosomal RNA (472 nucleotides) under uncultured bacterium. RNAcentral describes it as "bacterial SSU rRNA". It matches the Rfam family "Bacterial small subunit ribosomal RNA", at positions 29 to 524 of the family's 1533-position model. The record is from RNAcentral.